This 398-nucleotide long non-coding RNA is filed under the name Taeniopygia guttata (zebra finch). RNAcentral's name for it is "lncRNA (ENSTGUG00000024487.1)". The record is from RNAcentral. Lineage: Eukaryota; Metazoa; Chordata; Aves; Passeriformes; Estrildidae.
CCCCCCCCGCCCCAUCCCGCUGCCGGCUCCAUGAGCUUCACAUCCUCCUGCUAAGGCUGAAAGGAACAAGAACAAGAGCUGCUGAUGGUUGCUCUCCCUCCCUCAUGGCCGGAGUGGAAAAGCACGUUUAAAUCCCGAACUCGGCUUUCCCACGUGGUGUCUCGCUGAGCUGCUGUCACAGCCACGCCGCGCUCUCACAGGGCACCGGACUUCUUCCCUGCCCUGCCGGCAAGGCACAAGGAGGCAGCCUUCAUCGAGCGAGGAGAGCGAAUCUUGGCAAAAAGAGCACCGAAGGAUGUGAACCCCUUGGAAAAUUCCACUUCCUGCCCAGCACUGCGUGUCCUUGGGUCUCUCACUCAUUCCCAUGCACUUAACGAGGGAUUUCUGCCUCAGGCUAC